AGAGCGAACGCUGGCGGCAGGCCUAAUACAUGCAAGUCGAACGCACCUUCGGGUGAGUGGCGGACGGGUGAGUAACACGUGGGAACGUGCCCUUUGGUUCGGAAUAAUCCGGGGAAACCUGGCCUAAUACUGAAUAAGCCCUACGGGGGAAAGAUUUAUCGCCAUUAGAGCGGCCCGCGUUGGAUUAGCUAGUUGGUGAGGUAAAGGCUCACCAAGGCUACGAUCCAUAGCUGGUCUGAGAGGAUGAUCAGCCACACUGGGACUGAGACACGGCCCAGACUCCUACGGGAGGCAGCAGUUAGGAAUCUUGCGCAAUGGGCGAAAGCCUGACGCAGCCAUGCCGCGUGAAUGAUGAAGGUCUUAGGAUUGUAAAAUUCUUUCAGCGGGGAAGAUAAUGACUGUACCCGCAGAAGAAGCUCCGGCUAACUUCGUGCCAGCAGCCGC
RNAcentral lists this ribosomal RNA (444 nucleotides) under uncultured bacterium. Its description in RNAcentral is "SSU rRNA". It matches the Rfam family "Bacterial small subunit ribosomal RNA", at positions 26 to 518 of the family's 1533-position model. The record is from RNAcentral.